AUGGUACACUGGUCCCAAUUUUCAAUCUCUAAUACAUGACUGAUUUAUAUCUUUCCUAUUAAUUUUCUCCCAGUAAGUUCAGAAACAAUAAAAAUGGUAAAACUACCUCAAUGAAGUGUGUGAAUAACUUCAUUACUCCAGAUAUUUUAGAAAUAAAUAAGCUCUAGAAAUAAGAUGCUGGAAUCUUUCAGCACUAUUAAUGUAUUUCCAGCCUGGAAAGAGGUUGUUUAAUUUCAGGAUACUUAUUGUGUUUAUUAUUGAAGAUUAAUCUUUAAGAGAAUAUGAAAUAUGAGAAUAUUCAGAAUAUUAGGCAUAAUUUUCAUUUGAAAGAGGAAUCAGAACUAAGUGUGUGAGAUUAGGUCGCAUAGUGUAAUCAGGUUUAAGGUCUGUUAAUGAUAUUGGAAUAUUUAAGAGGACUUAAUUUACUGUAUUUAUUGUUUUGACUUAUAUUUAUAAUAUUUCUUUAAAUGCAUAGAAAUGGUUUGCUUGAUAAAUCUUAAGAAUACUCUUUGAGGUAUUAAAGUCCUUUAGAAUAUCAUGUUAACUGUAAAAACAGAAUAAAAUGUCAUGGUAAUUUAAUUAGCUAAAUUUGUAAAUGAUUUAGGAGAAUUUAAUAUUUUAACUUGUUCAAUGGAAUAUAUAUUAGACUAAAAGGGGAAUAAAUUAUGAUUUGCAAAUUUAAAUUGUAAGCUUAAAAUAAUCUACGUUUUCAAUUUUAUGAGGUUAAUAAAUUAAACUCUAACACACAUACACAACAAACUGCAAUAGUCCUAAACAAACAAACAAACAAAAAUAGUCCUAAACAUACACAUACUCACAUACAUACUCAUACAAUAUUCAAAUAUUAAAAAUUCAAAAUGACAUAUAUCAGCUGAGUGACCUUGAGAGACUUUAUUAACCUCAUUAGUUUCCCUUUGCUAUUAAAUAAGGAUAAUAAUAGUACCUAUCUCAUAGGGUUGGUUUGAGCAAGCAGAACACCAGAUGAUAUAACGGGAAAAAAAUUCAGAAGUUGCUUGACUUCAAAAACAUGCUCCAAAAUGAUAGCUGUAACCAAAACAAUGAGAUCACAUUGCAAUCUACUGAAUUUGGAUUUUUCUUCCUUUAGUAUGAGGUAUUUCUUAUUUCAUAUGGUGACCUUCAAAGUGAGAAGUUACAUUAUGUUACAGUUUUCUUUUUUUCUGCUGGAUACUGAUUAUUACUUAGAAAUGCCAUUUCCCAGAAAUAAAUAUGAAAGGUGACUUAUGUAACUCAAGGUAUUUUUCAUGUGUCCAUAAGUAAUCACUGAGUAUCUAAUGUUUGCUAGGAUCUAUCUGAGUGCUGGGAAACCAAGGUGAACAGAAGUCACAUGGUAGAUCAAUGUUUUCAUUUUUGUUUUUGUUUUUGAGAGAAAGAGCACUCAACAGGGAGCAUGACCUGAGGCUUGACCUCUUGACCAUGAGAUGAUGAUCUGAGCCAAAAUCAUGAGUCCCAUGCUUAACUGACUGGGCCACCCAGAUGUCCCAAGAUCAAGGCUUUUUUUAAAGAAUAAAGCAAUACUUAACAUUCAGUGAACAUUUACUAUAAGCUAGGGAAAGGUCCUGAGUUUAUGUACUAUAUAUCUUAUUUCUCUUUAAUUGCAUUCUGAUGAAGAUGGUAUUAUUAACAACAUACUUGACAGGAAACAAAACUGAAGCUUUGAGAGUUUCAAGUUCUUCUUGCUCAGGGCCUUGCAGAUAGAAACUACUGGAAUUGACAUUCAAAACCUCACUCACCCAAAAGUCAUUUCCAUACAGACUUCACAGCAUCUCAUUUCCAGCUCAGUCCACUGAAGUGAGCAUCUUAAAAUCUGAAUGAACCUUUUUUGAGGUAUCGUCAAAAGAAAAUGACAUCAAAUUUUAUAUUCCUUAUUAGGGACUUUGUCCUCCGGAACAUGGGAAAAAAGACAGAUUCUCAAUUACAUCUGACUUCCAUCUGUGACAGUUUGGGCUUAGUAGAUGAAGGCCGGAAAUGUUGUCUUUACAAAGAACAGAAAUGACACUCUCCCAGACAGUGUGAGAGACUGAGUACCCUGCCGUCUGUACAGCUACAUGCUUUCCAGAAAGCUGGUUAGGAGAUGCCUGGGUGGUUCAGUGGUUCAGUGUCUGCCUUUGGCUCAGGUCAUGAUCCCAGGGUUUGGGGAUCGAGUCCUACAUCAGCUUCCCCACAGAGAUCCCUACUUCUCCCUCUGCCUAUGUCUCUGCCUCUCUCUCUGUGUGUCUCUCAUGAAUAAAUAAAUGAAAUCUUUAAUAAAAAGCUUAUUGGCUUUUAGUUACCAUUUUAUAUUAUCUUUUAAUUUUUGAAUCACUUUUAUGUGUCUUCUUCUAGCAUCUUGCUUUUUUGUUCUCUUAGGUUUAUUUUUUGUGUGUGUGUUUAUAUUCUUCUACCCUUAUAAACAAAUAAUGAAUCCAUGACAUUUUUUCUUAUGAAUAUUUUAAAUACAUAGAAGGUAAGAGAGAGGAAAGGCAGAAAAUGCAGACCAUCAUAGUCAAGUGCUAUUUCUUUGCCAGCUAUGGAAGUGGGAAUGAAAAUAAUGGAGAAGAGGAAACAUAUGUGACUCUUUCUUUUCUAUCCAGUGACGUUAUUUUACUAGAGCUAAAAAGGAUGAUAAUUUGAAGAUAUGUGAGAGUACUUGUGUGUGUGUCUGUGUGUGUGUGUGUGUCUGUAUGUGCAUGUUGGUGUUAUAAAUA
RNAcentral lists this long non-coding RNA (2705 nucleotides) under Canis lupus familiaris (dog). Its description in RNAcentral is "lncRNA (ENSCAFG00845024162.1)". Lineage: Eukaryota; Metazoa; Chordata; Mammalia; Carnivora; Canidae. The record is from RNAcentral.